RNAcentral lists this non-coding RNA (45 nucleotides) under Schistosoma curassoni. Lineage: Eukaryota; Metazoa; Platyhelminthes; Trematoda; Strigeidida; Schistosomatidae. The record is from RNAcentral.
AUCCAGCUGACGAGUCUCGUAUAAGACGAAACACGCAUCCUGGAU